AUUGAACGCUGGCGGCAUGCCUUACACAUGCAAGUCGAACGGCAGCGGACCUUCGGGUGCCGGCGAGUGGCGAACGGGUGAGUAAUAUAUCGGAACGUACCUUUCAGUGGGGGAUAACGUAGCGAAAGUUACGCUAAUACCGCAUAUUCUGUGAGCAGGAAAGCAGGGGAUCGCAAGACCUUGCGCUGAUUGAGCGGCCGAUAUCAGAUUAGCUAGUUGGUGAGGUAAAGGCUCACCAAGGCGACGAUCUGUAGCGGGUCUGAGAGGAUGAUCCGCCACACUGGAACUGAGACACGGUCCAGACUCCUACGGGAGGCAGCAGUGGGGAAUUUUGGACAAUCGGCGCAAGCCUGAUCCAGCCAUGCCGCGUGAGUGAAGAAGGCCUCGGUUGUAAG
RNAcentral lists this ribosomal RNA (395 nucleotides) under uncultured bacterium. RNAcentral's name for it is "bacterial SSU rRNA". It matches the Rfam family "Bacterial small subunit ribosomal RNA", at positions 30 to 429 of the family's 1533-position model. The record is from RNAcentral.